Molecule: ribosomal RNA, 643 nt
Filed under: Marinobacter salsuginis
Lineage: Bacteria; Pseudomonadati; Pseudomonadota; Gammaproteobacteria; Pseudomonadales; Marinobacteraceae
Description: bacterial SSU rRNA
Rfam family: Bacterial small subunit ribosomal RNA
Source: RNAcentral
ACGCCGUAAACGAUGUCUACUAGCCGUUGGGACUCUUGAAGUCUUAGUGGCGCAGCUAACGCACUAAGUAGACCGCCUGUGGAGUACGGCCGCAAGGUUAAAACUCAAAUGAAUUGACGGGGGCCCGCACAAGCGGUGGAGCAUGUGGUUUAAUUAGACGCAACGCGAAGAACCUUACCUGGCCUUGACAUGCAGAGAACUUUCCAGAGAUGGAUUGGUGCCUUCGGGAACUCUGACACAGGUGCUGCAUGGCCGUCGUCAGCUCGUGUCGUGAGAUGUUGGGUUAAGUCCCGUAACGAGCGCAACCCCUAUCCCUAGUUGCUAGCAGUUCGGCUGAGAACUCUAUGGAGACUGCCGGUGACAAACCGGAGGAAGGUGGGGAUGACGUCAGGUCAUCAUGGCCCUUACGGCCAGGGCUACACACGUGCUACAAUGGCGCGCACAGAGGGCUGCAAACCCGCGAGGGGGAGCCAAUCUCACAAAACGCGUCGUAGUCCGGAUCGCAGUCUGCAACUCGACUGCGUGAAGUCGGAAUCGCUAGUAAUCGUGAAUCAGAAUGUCACGGUGAAUACGUUCCCGGGCCUUGUACACACCGCCCGUCACACCAUGGGAGUGGAUUGCACCAGAAGUGGUUAGUCUAACC